RNAcentral lists this ribosomal RNA (497 nucleotides) under uncultured bacterium. Its description in RNAcentral is "partial 16S ribosomal RNA". It matches the Rfam family "Bacterial small subunit ribosomal RNA", at positions 28 to 507 of the family's 1533-position model. The record is from RNAcentral.
GAUGAACGCUGGCGGCGUGCCUAAUACAUGCAAGUCGAGCGAACGGACGAGAAGCUUGCUUCUCUGAUGUUAGCGGCGGACGGGUGAGUAACACGUGGAUAACCUACCUAUAAGACUGGUAUAACUUCGGGAAACCGGAGCUAAUACCGGAUAAUAUUUUGAACCGCAUGGUUCAAAAGUGAAAGACGGUCUUGCUGUCACUUAUAGAUGGAUCCGCGCUGCAUUAGCUAGUUGGUAAGGUAACGGCUUACCAAGGCAACGAUGCAUAGCCGAGCUGAGAGGGUGAUCGGCCACACUGGAACUGAGACACGGUCCAGACUCCUACGGGAGGCAGCAGUAGGGAAUCUUCCGCAAUGGGCGAAAGCCUGACGGAGCAACGCCGCGUGAGUGAUGAAGGUCCUCGGAUCGUAAAACUCUGUUAUUAGGGAAGAACAUAUGUGUAAGUAACUGUGCACAUCUUGACGGUACCUAAUCAGAAAGCCACGGCUAACUACGUG